RNAcentral lists this ribosomal RNA (551 nucleotides) under uncultured Diversisporaceae. Its description in RNAcentral is "SSU rRNA". It matches the Rfam family "Eukaryotic small subunit ribosomal RNA", at positions 548 to 1098 of the family's 1831-position model. The record is from RNAcentral. Lineage: Eukaryota; Fungi; Glomeromycota; Glomeromycetes; Diversisporales.
UUGGAGGGCAAGUCUGGUGCCAGCAGCCGCGGUAAUUCCAGCUCCAAUAGCGUAUAUUAAAGUUGUUGCAGUUAAAAAGCUCGUAGUUGAACUUCGGGGUCUACCCAUUGGUCAGGCUUAAUUGUCUGUACUGGUGAGAUGGAUCUCUACCUUCUGAGGAACUUUCAUGCCAUUUAUUUGGUGUGGUUGGAAAUCAGGACUGUUACUUUGAAAAAAUUAGAGUGCUUAAAGCAGGCUUUUGCUUGAAUAGAUUAGCAUGGAAUAAUAAAAUAGGACGGCAUGGUUCUAUUUUGUUGGUUUCUAGGAUCACCGUAAUGAUUAAUAGGGAUAGUUGGGGGCAUUAGUAUUCAAUUGUCAGAGGUGAAAUUCUUGGAUUUAUUGAAGACUAACUUCUGCGAAAGCAUUUGCCAAGGAUGGUUUCAUUAAUCAAGAACGAAAGUUAGGGGAUCGAAGACGAUCAGAUACCGUCGUAGUCUUAACCAUAAACUAUGCCGACUAGGGAUCGGACGAUGUUAAUUUUUUAAUGACUCGUUCGGCGCCUUACGGGAAAC